Molecule: ribosomal RNA, 406 nt
Filed under: uncultured bacterium
Lineage: Bacteria
Description: partial 16S ribosomal RNA
Rfam family: Bacterial small subunit ribosomal RNA
Source: RNAcentral
AUUGAACGCUGGCGGCAGGCCUAACACAUGCAAGUCGAGUGAGCGGCGGACGGGUGAGUAAUGUCUGGGAAACUGCCUGAUGGAGGGGGAUAACUACUGGAAACGGUAGCUAAUACCGCAUACCAUCUGAUGUGCCCAGAUGGGGUUAGGUAGUAGGUGGGGUAAUGGCUCACCUAGGCGACGAUCCCUGGCUGGUCUGAGAGGAUGACCAGCCACACUGGAACUGAGACACGGUCCAUACUCCUACGGGAGGCAGCAGUGGGGAAUAUUGCACAAUGGGCGCAAGCCUGAUGCAGCCAUGCCGCGUGUAUGAAGAAGGCCUUCGGGGUGUAAAGUACUUUCAGCGAGGAGGCGUUACUCGCAGAAGAAGCACCGGCUAACUCCGUGCCAGCAGCCGCGGUAAUUC